This is a long non-coding RNA of Engraulis encrasicolus (European anchovy), 213 nucleotides long. RefSeq lists it as uncharacterized. NCBI's taxonomy places the organism in Eukaryota, Metazoa, Chordata, Actinopteri, Clupeiformes, Engraulidae. The record is from RefSeq and is a predicted model, not a curated record. The transcript has 3 exons.
AGACUACACAGAGGAUGAGAGUGCUGAAUCAAGUAGCUUCAGAGCCCUCAGGAUGCUCGUCCAGUAUCUCCCCCCUACUGCAUCAGGACGGAGUAAAGGGUGGACCAAAUGCAGUGUAAAGGCGGCAAUGGCCUACAUGUUGGAGAUAAAGCCAAUGGGAACCAGCAUCACGUCACUUCUUCAAACCAGUGGCACGGUCUGUGAUUCGUCAAA